AGUGAACGCUGGCGGUAGGCCUAACACAUGCAAGUCGAACGGCAGCACAGAGGAGCUUGCUCCUUGGGUGGCGAGUGGCGGACGGGUGAGGAAUACAUCGGAAUCUACUCUGUCGUGGGGGAUAACGUAGGGAAACUCACGCUAAUACCGCAUACGACCUACGGGUGAAAGCAGGGGACCUUCGGGCCUUGCGCGAUUGAAUGAGCCGAUGUCGGAUUGGCUAGUUGGCGGGGUAAAGGCCCACCAAGGCGACGAUCCGUAGCUGGUCUGAGAGGAUGAUCAGCCACACUGGAACUGAGACACGGUCCAGACUCCUACGGGAGGCAGCAGUGGGGAAUAUUGGACAAUGGGCGCAAGCCUGAUCCAGCCAUACCGCGUGGGUGAAGAAGGCCUUCGGGUUGUAAAGCCCUUUUGUUGGGAAAGAAAUCCAGCUGGCUAAUACCCGGUUGGGAUGACGGUACCCAAAGAAUACGCACCGGCUAACUUCGUGCCAGCCGCCGCGGUAA
This 506-nucleotide ribosomal RNA is filed under the name uncultured bacterium. RNAcentral's name for it is "partial 16S ribosomal RNA". It matches the Rfam family "Bacterial small subunit ribosomal RNA", at positions 29 to 523 of the family's 1533-position model. The record is from RNAcentral.